This 490-nucleotide ribosomal RNA is filed under the name uncultured bacterium. RNAcentral describes it as "partial 16S ribosomal RNA". It matches the Rfam family "Bacterial small subunit ribosomal RNA", at positions 28 to 507 of the family's 1533-position model. The record is from RNAcentral.
GAUGAACGCUCGCUACAGGCUUAACACAUGCAAGUCGAGGGGCAGCAUGGUCUUAGCUUGCUAAGGCCGAUGGCGACCGGCGCACGGGUGAGUAACACGUAUCCAACCUGCCGUCUACUCUUGGACAGCCUUCUGAAAGGAAGAUUAAUACAAGAUGGCAUCAUGAGUCCGCAUGUUCACAUGAUUAAAGGUAUUCCGGUAGACGAUGGGGAUGCGUUCCAUUAGAUAGUAGGCGGGGUAACGGCCCACCUAGUCUUCGAUGGAUAGGGGUUCUGAGAGGAAGGUCCCCCACAUUGGAACUGAGACACGGUCCACACUCCUACGGGAGGCAGCAGUGAGGAAUAUUGGUCAAUGGGCGCAGGCCUGAACCAGCCAAGUAGCGUGAAGGAUGACUGCCCUCUGGGUUGUAAACUUCUUUUAUAAAGGAAUAAAGUCGGGUAUGUAUACCCGUUUGCAUGUACUUUAUGAAUAAGGAUCGGCUAACUCCGUG